Molecule: long non-coding RNA, 4177 nt
Organism: Paramacrobiotus metropolitanus
Lineage: Eukaryota; Metazoa; Tardigrada; Eutardigrada; Parachela; Macrobiotidae
Exons: 4
Source: RefSeq, a predicted model, not a curated record
AUCAAAUCCUUCACAACAAUCUUGUUGAUUUCAGCACAGUGAGUGCAUAGUUUGCUAGCAGUGACACGUCUGCCGGAUUUAUCGUCUGGCUCUAAAUUCACUUCACCAACUCUGCAGGGGAUUCUUGAUACACACAAUCAUCCGGCACUUGCAAUAUUUCGUCUUGCACUACCGGAUCACCCUGCAGUCGGCCUUCAUCAGUCACAACCAAAUUUCAAUGCAGUAUGAAUACAGCUGUAUUGUACAUAUUAUCGGUCAAGCAAACACAACUUUCGAUAAAAUGCUAAAACAUACUCGUUUCUAACAGACGAUGGUUAACGCAACUCGGUGAAGUCAUACAAAUGCUCACACUAUGAGUCACGACUGUACAGCCGGCGUACUCGUACUUUACCACUAAAGUUCAAAUCAGCGCUUAUUGACCAAAAUAUGAGACUUAUACCACCUUGUAGUAUAAAAUCUGUAGUAUUUGGAUAGAUUUUUUGUUUUCCGAUAAGUAUUACUAAUUUUGUGUAAUAAUCAUCUAAACCAAGUAUGGGAAAGCGUUCCGUGACGUCUGUGCGCGCACAUCAAAGCUGCCGCCCAUCGCGCACCUGAGAUACGGAUCUUCUCUAAUACUGAUCGCGGAUAUGCUGCAUUGCAUGGUUAUCAGUUGGCAGAUCAUAUCCGCGGAUUCAGUGCGAGCUGAAGUGUUCUGAACAGGAUCUGCGUUAUUUUGUGGGCAUAAUUAUUUACAGCGGAAUUCUCCAGUUGCCUUCGCAGCGGCAUUUUUGGACGCGCUCUGCUUUGUUCGAUUUCCCAGCAGUGUCUUAUCAGAUUACGAGGAGCCGUUUCGAAGAAAUCAAAAAGUUUCUGCAUCUGGCCGACAACGACCAUUUAGUACAGGCGACAUUUGGCAAAGGUCAACCCCUUCAUGGACAUUGUGAAAAAGAAACUCCUGCAGUUUGGCUGGUUUGAAGAGAAUCUGAGUGUGGAUGGACAGAUGAUUCCCUACUUCGGACAUCAUUCCUGCAAAAUAUUUAUGCGUGGGAAGCCUUGUAGAUUCGGCUACAAGUUGUGGGUGAUUUGUGGCGCUAGCGGUUAUCCGUUUUUUUUGGCUAUACCGGAAAGGAGGCCGCGGUAACUCUAAAGCCUCUUGGGUCAAGAGUCGUGUUGUCGCUGCUGAGCCAUGUCGACAAUCCAGAGCUCCACACGGUUUUUUUUGACAAUUUUUUUACUCCUUACUUGAUGAACUGCGAAAGCUAAAAUACAAAGCUACCGGCACUGUGGGUGAGAAUCGUUUGCUGAAGUGUCCAUUCCCAGAUAACAAGAAAUUCAAAAAAAACCGCUCGAGGACAUUACGUAGGCUACUCCACGAAGGAUAUUGUAACAGUGAAGUGGCACGAUAACACCCCGUUUGCUUGGCUUCUAAUUAUGACACAGUUUUGCCGCUUGGGAAAGCAAGACGUUGAAGCGCAUCGGCAAAGUAGCCAAUCGAUAUCACUCAGCCGAAGAUGAUCGCCAGCUACAACAGAUUCAUGGGCGGCGUAGAUUUGUGUGAUCGAUUCAUUAGUAAUUUCCGACCAAUGAUGCGGUCCAAAAAGUGGUGGUGGCCAUUUUUUGCUAACAGCAUUGCCUUGAUGACCGUUGCGGCUUGGCGUGUCCACAAAGAAGUUGGCGGAAAUCUUACGCAAAUUCAGUUUCUGACGGAGCUGGUAGAGGGGCUGCUGCUGUCUGGAACAGAACAGCCCAGUGUCCGAACGGGACCGAGAACGCCGGUGUCCAGCACAGUAAGAUUCGACAACAUACAGCACAUUCCGGAGAAGUGCAAACGUGGUGAAUGCAAGCACUGUCGUGGCAUUUCAGCGCGACAGAAGUGUGGGAAGUACAAUGUUCGGUUGCAUAAGUCCUGCUUCCCGCUGUACCAUUCGCGUAACUGACGGAUAACGUUGCCAGCUCGUUGCUAUUUUCAAAAUAAAAGUUUUCGGAAUUUUGUACCAAUUAUAUUCGUUUGCAUUUUCACUCUAUUUUUAGGUUUUUUUGUGUAAUUUUUUCACUUUUCUAUGUUUUUACGCUAUGUUGACCACUGGUCAGCCGGAUGACCAUGACGAUAGUGCAGUCAUUUCUAUCUCGUUCUGACUUGUCGUUUGAGGCAAGGGCAGACCUUAUGCAAUUUGUCUAUCAAUUCCUAUAAAUAGUUGAAUUUGACCUGCCAAAGGGCAGGAUGCCCAUCCCGGUCAGUUUGACAGGCUCUCGCCCUGCUUGACCUAUGGUCACAAAAAUUUCCAAAAAAAUAGUUUUUCUUAAUUGAUUCAUUUUGCUACUAAUCACCAAUUUUCAAAUUGGUAUUCUCACUGCUUCUAGUAGCUGACUUUGGUGGGUUAAUUCGAUUAUUCCAGUUACUAAAGUUUUUCCCGGCAUUAUCAAUGCCGGGCAAUUAUGACUGAAGCAUCGAAUUGCAAAUAUCGCGUCGAUAUCUUUCGAAUUACCGCCCGUAUUUCAAUGCAUUUAAAACAUAAUAACAGGCGGUGAAUAAUACAAUUAAAAUAGCAUGUGGCGUUCUUCGACGUCAAUCGGCUCGUUAGCCGGCUUUUCACGAAGCUUUAUAUGCAGUUGUGCGACUUCAUAAUGCAAUUCGCGAUAUCAGACUGCAAUGGAGAAUAUUAAACCGGGAAUAUUAAACCGAGAAUAUUAAACCGAGUUAAUUUAACUCAUCCCGGUCUGAUAUUCUCCAUUCCAGUUCGGUAAGGAUAUCACUAAAUGGCGAACACGACGAGCAGUCGGCUCGGCUAACAUUCAUAAAAUUAUCGGCAUUAAUCGGCUGAAUACGGACAAUCCGUUCGGCUCUUUUAAAGCUUUAGCGGCGAAGUGCUUACUUUAUUAAACUGUGCAUGAUGCAUUGCAGUACCGACGUUUUUAAAGCUAUCGGUUUGUGGCGUUGGUGUUUUCCGUUGCAUUCCCAUGCAGCGCAGGCAUAACGCUUACAUGGUACAGAUGCUACUUCGAUCCCCGAUCCUCCUAUUAGCGUUAUAUUCUUCUACGCCGAUUUUAGAUGCAGGGUUUUGUACGGCGUUACGCUGCAUUAUUCUUUCCCCGAUCCUCCUGUCGACAAUUGCGCGCACUGCCAGAUUCCCUGUACGGCCAGACGGUUUCUAUGCGAAGCCAAAAGCAAAGUUUGGAGAAGCGCCGUCACUGUCUACCAGGAAAUACCAGCUAUGAGGCCCGACAUACACCGGAACCGGAGUUCCUGAGCUGAUUUCUUAUUACCGUCGAACCAAUGCCGUCUUAACUACACAUCGGAAGGCACCACACACCAGGGAUACCUCAGUGAGCGCAUGGAGAGUAAAAUGUGGCCCCGCGUCAAGACGUCAAUCUUGGGAGCAAGCAAGCAACAACAUCGUUCAUCGACCGCGUCGCACCGUCUAGGACCGUCACUUCACCGCAGCCGAAAACGGCAGCUGUACGAGCAACCGUCUUUAAUUAUUUUUCAACGGAAUAUUAGCGAUAUUGCUGCUGAUUUUUAUCAGAAUAUCGUUAACAAAAUCAGCAGCUGCUGGAUCCGAUCGUCGCAAUUUCGCAUAUCGUUUUCGAUAUUUUACCGGGAUAAAUGGAUGAAUUCACAAGAAUUUAUCAAUUAAAUUACGCCGUAUUUGUUAGCCGAAACACUGAAACCUUGCUGCCGAGCCAAGAAUCCGAAUCUAACAGACUGAAAUCCAAAAACGUCCCGGCCAUGUGCAUGUAAUGCCAAUAUCUGUCCGUAGACACUUCACAUACGAGGCGAAAUAGGAGUCGGUGCGAUACCUACGCAGCCCCACUUUCCUGGGCUGUGGCGCCGAUCUCCUGGCACCGAUGUUGUUUCGAACUGCUACGAGUAGUUUUGCGAGAAGUUCAGUGCUGGCGCUGCCGCCGAACUGGCAUGCCGGGAGAAGAUUGGAAAAUACAAGUCGCUUACCGAUCGCUGUAAUUUUGUCGCCUUUGCAUGUGAGACUUUUGGCACUUGGUGUGAGACCGGCAUUGUAACGUUAAAGGAGAUCGGUAAGAAGUUGUUUUUAAGGACGGGUGAGAGUCGCUCUACUUGUUUUCUGUUUCAGCGUUUAAGUUUGGAGAUUAUGCGUGGUAAUGCAAUGAGUGUAUUGUGCACGGUCCCUUCCCAUGUCAAUUGGGACAAAUUCUUCAUUUGAUCAUGUUUGUUGAGCGAAGC